This 3328-nucleotide ribosomal RNA is filed under the name Musa schizocarpa. RNAcentral describes it as "eukaryotic LSU rRNA". It matches the Rfam family "Eukaryotic large subunit ribosomal RNA". Lineage: Eukaryota; Viridiplantae; Streptophyta; Magnoliopsida; Zingiberales; Musaceae. The record is from RNAcentral.
AGGAUGGCCCCCGUCUUGGAAGGUGCGGUUUGGCGGCGGGCCGUCGAUGGUUGUCGAACACGCACGCGUGGUGGAUGCCUUAAUGCGAGCCGUGCCGUCUUGCCGCCGGGGACGGCGAGGCCUCGAGGACCCAAAGUCGUGGGUGAGAGUCGAUGCCCACGGACCGCGACCCAGGUCAGGUGGGGCUACCCGCUGAGUUUAAGCAUAUAAAUAAGCAGAGGAGAAAAAACUUACAAAGAUUCCCUUAAUAGCGGCGAACCGAAGGAUCAGCCCGGCCUUUGAAAUCGGGCAUCUCAUCGUCAAAUGUAUGGAGGAAGCGUCCUGACCGGACGGGCCCAAGUCCCUGGAAAAGGCGUCGGGGGAAAGUGAAACCCCGUCCAUUUCGGACCCUGUCGCUUUCGAAAGCGCUGUCGACGAGUCGAGUUGUUUGGGAAUGCAGCCCCAAUCAGGCGGUAAAUUUCGUCAAAGGCUAAAUAUGGGCGAAAGACCGAUAGCGAACAAGUACGCGAGGGAAAGAUGAAAAGGACUUCGAAAAAGAGAGUCAAAAAGUGCUUGAAAUUGCUGGGAGGGAAGCGGAUGGGGGCGGCGAUGCACCUCGGUCGGAUGCGAAGCGGCGGUUAGCGGUCCCCUUUCAAUCGAGUGCGGAUCGUCUGGCUGCAUCGGCAAUGGCCGGCGACGGACGGAUCGUUCGUUCGAGGGGAUACCGUCGAUGCGAUUCGAGGACAUGGCGCAGCGCCAUCGGCGUGCCCGCGGGUACACCGCGUGCGACUCCAGGCAUCGACGAUGGGCUCCCCAUCCGGCCGUCUUGAAAACGGACCAAAAUUCGACAUGCGUGCGAAGUCGGCCAAAGCGGAAACCCGGAAAGGCACAAAGGAAGCUUGCGGGCGGGGAACCCCUCGGGGGUUGGUUGCACCGCCGACCCGAUCUUCGUGAAGGGUUCGAGUUGGAGCAUGCAUGUCGGGACCCGAAAGAUGGUGAACUAUGCUGGCGGCGAAGAAGGAAAUUCUGGUGGAGGCCCGGCGAUCUUGACAUGCAAAUCGUUCGUCGACUUGGGUAUAGAGGCGAAAGACUAAUCGAACCAUCUAGUAGCUGGUUCCCUCGAAGUUUCCUCGGGGAUAGCUGGAGCCCGUCGGCGAGUUCUAUCGGGUAAAGCCAAUGAUUAGAGGCAUCGGGGAAGCAGCGCCCUCGACCUAUUCUCAAACUUUAAAUAGGUAGGGCCGGCUGGCUGCUGUUGGCAGCGUCAGCGAAUCGAAACUCAAGUGGGCCAUUUUGCAAGCGAAGCUGGCGAUGCGGGAUGAACAGGAAGCCAGGUUAUGGUGCCCAAGCUAGCGGCGCUAACCGGACACCACAAAGGGUGUUGGUUGAUUAAAACAAUUUGGGCCGGUGGUCAUGGAAGUCGAAAUCUGCUAAGGAGUGUGUAACAACUCACUUGCCGAAUCAACUAACCCCGAAAAUGGAUGGCGCUGAAGCGCGCGACCCCACCAAACCAUCGGGGCGGCGUAAACCUCGAUGAGUAGGGCGUGGCGGUCGCCAUAAAACCAAGCCUUGAGGCCGCGAGCGGCCGUCGGUGCAGAUCUUGGUGGUAGUAGCAAAUAUUCAAAUGAGAACUUUGAAGGCCGAAGAGGAAAAGGUUCCAUGUGAGCGGCACUUGCACAUGGGUUAGCCGAUCCUAAGGGCCGGGGAAGCCCGUCCGAGAGUAUCUCCGCGAAGCUCGAAAGGGAAUCGGGUUAAAAUUCCGAGCCGGGCCUUGGCGGUGGGACGGCAACGUUAGGAAGUCCCGGACGCGUCGGCGGGGCUCCGGGAAGAGUUAUCUUUUCUGCUUAACGGCCCGCCCACCCUGGAAACGGCACAGCCGGAGGGUAGGGUCCAGCGGUCGGGGAGAGCGCCGACGUCGCGGCGUCCGGUCGCGCCGGCGCCCUUGAAAAUCGGAGGACCGAGUGCCGCCGCCCCGGUCAUUACUCAUAACCGCAUCAGGUCUCCAAGGUGAACAACCCGGCCCAUGGAACAAUGUAGGCAAGGGAAGUCGGCAAAACGGAUCGUAACCGGAAAAGGAUUGGCUCGAGGGCUGGCACGGGGUUCCCCCCGAACCGUCUUUUGUCGGUGGACGGGCUCGAGCUGCUCUCCGGAGAGAGGUGGCCGCCGAUGCCGGCGUGGGGGGACGGACCGGGAAUAGCCCUCGGGGCCUUCCGGCGUCGAACAGCAAACUUCAGAACCGUAAUGCGGACAAAGGGAAUCCGUUUAAUUAAAAGAAAGCAUUGCGAUGGUCCCAUGCGGAUGCUCGUUUAAUGUGAUUUCUGCCCGGUGCUCUGAAUGUCAAAGUGAAGAAAUUCAACCAAGCAUGGGUAAAUCAGGGAGUAACUAUGACUCUCUUAAGGUAGCCAAAUGCCUCGUCAUCUAAUUAGUGGCGACAUGAAUGGAUUAACGAGAUUCCCAUCGUGUCCAUCUACUAUCCAGUGAAACCAAAGCCAAGGAGCGGGCUUGGCGAGAAUCGUGAGGAAAGAAGACCUGUUGAGCUUGACUCUAGUCGACUUUGUGAAAUGACUUGAGAGGUGUAGGAUAAGUGGGGCCGGUUCGCGGCGAAAGUGAAAAUACCACUACUUUUAACGUUAUUUUACUUAUUCCGUGCGUCGGGAUGAGGGCCCGGCCCCUCCUUUGGACCCAAGCCCGCCCUAGCGGGCCGAUCCCGGCGGAAGACAUUGUCGGUGGGGAGUUUGGUGGGGCGGCACUGUUAAAAGAUAACGAGGUGUCCUAAGAUGAGCUCAACGAGAAUAGAAAUCUCGUGUGGAAUAAAAGGGUAAAAGCUCGUUUGAUUACGAUUUCCAGUAUGAAUCGAACCGUGAAAGUGGCCUAUCGAUCCUUUAGACCGGAAUUUGAAGCUAGAGGUGUGGAAAAAGUUACCACCGGGGAUAAGCGGCUUGUGGCAGCCAAUAGCGUUCAUAGCGGCGUUGCUUUUUGAUCCUGCCGAUGUGGCUCUUCCUAUCAUUGUGAAGCAGAAUUCACCAAGUGUUGGAUUGUUCACCCACCAAUAGGGAACGUGGUGGGUUUAGACCGUCGUGAGACAAGGUUAGUUUUACCCUACUAAUGAUGGAUGUCGCGAUAGUAAUUCAACCUAGUAAUGAGAGGAACCGUUGAUUCACACAAUUGGUCAUCGCUUGGUUUGCAAAAGCCGAUGGCGUGAAGCUACCGUGGUGUCGGAUUAUGACGCCUCUCAAGUCGAGAAUCCUAAGCUAGCAACCGUGACACCCAUCAUUUCGGAAUUUUUAGUAUAAGUUUCUAGUUGUAAUGUAGGUAUCUAUUUUAAAUUUGAUAAAAGGUCAAAGUAUGAAUC